Molecule: ribosomal RNA, 315 nt
Filed under: uncultured eukaryote
Lineage: Eukaryota
Description: partial 18S ribosomal RNA
Rfam family: Eukaryotic small subunit ribosomal RNA
Source: RNAcentral
CCCUUAGAUGGUCUGGGCUGCACGCGCGCUACACUGACGCACGCAACAGGUGCCUGCUCCGAGAGGACUGGGUAAUCAUUUGAGUGUGCGUCGUGAUGGGGAUAGAAUAUUGUAAUUAUUACUCUUCAACGAGGAAUUCCUAGUAAGCGCCAGUCAGCAGCUUGCGCUGAUUACGUCCCUGCCCUUUGUACACACCGCCCGUCGCUCCUACCGAUGGGUGAUCCGGUGAAUGAUUCGGACUUCAGCGGCUCCCCUGGGGUGCGCCGGAGAAAGUUUUGUGAACCUUAUCACUUGGAGGAAGGAGAAGUCGUAACA